RNAcentral lists this transfer RNA (73 nucleotides) under Cordylochernes scorpioides. RNAcentral's name for it is "tRNA-Thr". It matches the Rfam family "tRNA". From Rfam's summary of the family: Transfer RNA (tRNA) molecules are approximately 80 nucleotides in length. Their secondary structure includes four short double-helical elements and three loops (D, anti-codon, and T loops). Further hydrogen bonds mediate the characteristic L-shaped molecular structure. tRNAs have two regions of fundamental functional importance: the anti-codon, which is responsible for specific mRNA codon recognition, and the 3' end, to which the tRNAs corresponding amino acid is attached (by aminoacyl-tRNA synthetases). tRNAs cope with the degeneracy of the genetic code in two manners: having more than one tRNA (with a specific anti-codon) for a particular amino acid; and 'wobble' base-pairing, i.e. permitting non-standard base-pairing at the 3rd anti-codon position. Lineage: Eukaryota; Metazoa; Arthropoda; Arachnida; Pseudoscorpiones; Chernetidae. The record is from RNAcentral.
UCCAGGGUAGCCUAGUGGACAUGGCAUCUGCCCGGUAAGCGGAACAUUGUGGGAUCGAUUCCCAUCCCUGGAC